CGCACAUUGCGCCCGCCAGUAUUCUGACGGGCAUGCCUGUUCGAGCGUCAUUUCAAACCUCAAGCCCUCUUGUGUGCUUGGUGCUGGGGCUCUUCUAUAGUGAUUUCUGUCAUUAUAGGCCCUAAAAACCGACGGCGGACCCGCGAGGUCUCUGAGCGUAGUAAAACACUUCUCGCUUGUGAGAUCUUCCGGGCUACUAUCCAGCCUUCAUAUCACUAUUAUACCUAAGUUUGACCUCGGAUCAGGUAGGAAUACCCGCUGAACUUAA
RNAcentral lists this unclassified non-coding RNA (268 nucleotides) under Epichloe glyceriae. RNAcentral describes it as "partial contains 5.8S ribosomal RNA, internal transcribed spacer 2, and large subunit ribosomal RNA". The record is from RNAcentral. Lineage: Eukaryota; Fungi; Ascomycota; Sordariomycetes; Hypocreales; Clavicipitaceae.